CUGAGAAUUGAUUGCUGAGUUGGGAAGCCAACGCAGACGGGAAAGAGAAGAGAGGUAGGCGACUGAGAACGAAGCUGGCGGUCUUUUUCAGCAGCCUGAAUAAAGGGGCCGGGCCCUGUGCAGCAGAACCCUGUGAACCCCGCCAGGUCCGGAAGGAAGCAACGGUAAGCAAUCAGUUCUGGGUGCCGCAGGAUCACCUGGCCCCGCUUGUUCAGGAUGUUGAAACAGGCUCCCAACUUCGUUCUCGG
Molecule: signal recognition particle RNA, 248 nt
Filed under: Nitrospira sp. CR1.3
Lineage: Bacteria; Pseudomonadati; Nitrospirota; Nitrospiria; Nitrospirales; Nitrospiraceae
Description: signal recognition particle sRNA large type
Rfam family: Bacterial small signal recognition particle RNA (bases 107-206)
Source: RNAcentral